AUCAAAUCAUGUAAAGUAUAUGGUAUCUAAGAGCCAACCAACCACACCUAACUUUUUCUCCUUUUAUUUUCAUCUUCUUCCUUAUUCUUCUUCAUCACCAGAGAAGAACUAGUGCCAAAAACCAAUAACAAAAAGCAAACGUUUUUCACAAUCACCAACCCGCAUAUUCACAUGGUGAGCAUGAUCUUCACCAUCACCCCCUUCUUUUGAAUCUCUUCAAAAUCUUCAAUACCCAAAACUCAAAAUCCCUCAAUUCAUCAACCCUUUUGAUUUGAUAAUUUAGGGUGAAUGAAACUUUGAUUUUUAAAGCCAACAAAACCAUGAAAUUAAAAACCACAAACAUCAA
This 346-nucleotide long non-coding RNA is filed under the name Trifolium pratense (red clover). RNAcentral's name for it is "long non-coding RNA (TPRA_LNC013182)". Lineage: Eukaryota; Viridiplantae; Streptophyta; Magnoliopsida; Fabales; Fabaceae. The record is from RNAcentral.